RNAcentral lists this ribosomal RNA (254 nucleotides) under uncultured bacterium. Its description in RNAcentral is "partial 16S ribosomal RNA". It matches the Rfam family "Bacterial small subunit ribosomal RNA", at positions 524 to 776 of the family's 1533-position model. The record is from RNAcentral.
GACGAACCGUGCGAACGUUAUUCGGAAUCACUGGGCUUAAAGCGCGUGUAGGCGGGCCGGCACGUCGGUCGCUGAAAUCCCCCGGCUCAACCGGGGAAGCGGCGCCGAUACGACCGGCCUGGAGGGGCGUAGGGGGAUCGGGAACUUCCGGUGGAGCGGUGAAAUGCGUUGAGAUCGGAAGGAACGCCCGUGGCGAAAGCGCGGUCCUGGACGCCUGCUGACGCUGAGACGCGAAAGCCAGGGGAGCGAACGGG